This 254-nucleotide ribosomal RNA is filed under the name uncultured bacterium. Its description in RNAcentral is "partial 16S ribosomal RNA". It matches the Rfam family "Bacterial small subunit ribosomal RNA", at positions 524 to 776 of the family's 1533-position model. The record is from RNAcentral.
GACGAACCGUGCGAACGUUAUUCGGAAUCACUGGGCUUAAAGCGCGUGUAGGCGGGCCGCCGCGUCGGCUGCUGAAAUCCCCCGGCUCAACCGGGGAACGGGCACCGAUACGAGCGGCCUCGAGGGGGGUAGGGGGGUCUGGAACUUCCGGUGGAGCGGUGAAAUGCGUUGAGAUCGGAAGGAACGCCCGUGGCGAAAGCGAGGCCCUGGACCCUUACUGACGCUGAGACGCGAAAGCCAGGGGAGCGAACGGG